UGAAUCAUAAAAUGCUGCAUGCACAUAA
Molecule: small RNA, 28 nt
Filed under: Bombyx mori (domestic silkworm)
Lineage: Eukaryota; Metazoa; Arthropoda; Insecta; Lepidoptera; Bombycidae
Description: ovarian small RNA-31109
Source: RNAcentral